ACUUAAAUAGCUUAAGUUUUAAAGCAUAGUAUUGAAGAUACUAGGAUAAGAUUUGUUCUUUUUAGGUA
Molecule: transfer RNA, 68 nt
Filed under: Sirthenea flavipes
Lineage: Eukaryota; Metazoa; Arthropoda; Insecta; Hemiptera; Reduviidae
Description: tRNA-Phe
Source: RNAcentral